UAGGGAAUCUUCCACAAUGGGCGCAAGCCUGAUGGAGCAACACCGCGUGAGUGAAGAAGGGUUUCGGCUCGUAAAGCUCUGUUGUUGGAGAAGAACGUGCGUGAGAGCAACUGUUCACCNCGUGCCGGUACCCAACCAGAAAGUCACGGCUCACUACGUACCAGCAGCCGCGGUAAUACGUAGGUGGCAAGCGUUAUCCGGAUUUAUUGGGCGUAAAGCGAGCGCAGGCGGUUGCUUAGGUCUGAUGUGAAAGCCUUCGGCUUAACCGAAGAAGUGCAUCGGAAACCGGGCAACUUGAGUGCAGAAGAGGACAGUGGAACUCCAUGUGUAGCGGUGGAAUGCGUAGAUAUAUGGAAGAACACCAGUGGCGAAGGCGGCUGUCUGGUCUGCAACUGACGCUGAGGCUCGAAAGCAUGGGUAGCGAACAGG
Molecule: ribosomal RNA, 429 nt
Filed under: uncultured bacterium
Lineage: Bacteria
Description: bacterial SSU rRNA
Rfam family: Bacterial small subunit ribosomal RNA
Source: RNAcentral